UGUGCUCUCCCUGCACGGCUGCCACUGCUCUCCUGCUGCACUAAGCUUGUUUCUGCACUUUGUCACAAUUCCAGAGCAGGAGAUUAUCUUUAAUUUUGUGAUAAUUACCACAAGCCACUUUCAUUCCCAGCUUUUAAGUGUCUACUGCUGUACAUGUACCAAAUGUGGAACCAACACCAACCGUCCACACAAAGGAAAGGUGUUGGAGGCAAGGAACCACAGAUCUUGGGGAGAAAUGAUGCUUGAUGUGGUCACACUGGACACCACCACCACUAAGCUGACGCCCUGCAGGACAGGCAGGAAUUUCCUCCUGGAAAGCCUCCCCUGUGCAGGAAAGGGCUCAAGUUUCAGCUCUACCAGCCAGAGGAGCAAAACCUUCACAAGCAAUGCCAGACUGACUGACUUUUGGGAUCACCCACACAAAACUGGUGCUGGUCAAACCCAGCCGAUCCUCUCUACUGCCUGGUUCACCCCAUCAUUCAUCCCAGUGCUCAGGCAAGGCUGGCUCCAUCCCUAUGGGCAAGCAUACAGAGGGAGGAGAGGCCUGGCUCUGAUGCACCUGCAGCACAGGUAGCUCAACAUUCC
Passer domesticus (house sparrow) is the source of this 585-nucleotide long non-coding RNA. RefSeq lists it as uncharacterized. The transcript is spliced from 3 exons. The record is from RefSeq and is a predicted model, not a curated record. Lineage: Eukaryota; Metazoa; Chordata; Aves; Passeriformes; Passeridae.